UACGAAGGGGGCUAGCGUUGUUCGGAAUUACUGGGCGUAAAGGGCGCGUAGGCGGGCCGCCAGGUCCGGGGUGAAAGCCUCCAGCUCAACUGGAGAAGUGCCUUGGAUACCGGCGGCCCCGAGGGAGGCAGGGGCGUGCGGAACUUCGGGUGGAGCGGUGAAAUGCGUAGAUAUCCGAAGGAACACCAAUGGCGAAAGCAGCUUUCUGGGACGGUACUGACGCUGAGACGCGAAAGCGUGGGGAGCGAACAGG
RNAcentral lists this ribosomal RNA (253 nucleotides) under uncultured bacterium. Its description in RNAcentral is "partial 16S ribosomal RNA". It matches the Rfam family "Bacterial small subunit ribosomal RNA", at positions 524 to 776 of the family's 1533-position model. The record is from RNAcentral.